RNAcentral lists this ribosomal RNA (505 nucleotides) under uncultured bacterium. RNAcentral describes it as "partial 16S ribosomal RNA". It matches the Rfam family "Bacterial small subunit ribosomal RNA", at positions 28 to 507 of the family's 1533-position model. The record is from RNAcentral.
GACGAACGCUGGCGGCGUGCCUAAUACAUGCAAGUAGAACGCACAGUUUAUACCGUAGCUUGCUACACCAUAGGCUGUGAGUUGCGAACGGGUGAGUAACGCGUAGGUAACCUGCCUGGUAGCGGGGGAUAACUAUUGGAAACGAUAGCUAAUACCGCAUAAUAUUAAUUAUUGCAUGAUAAUUAAUUGAAAGGUGCAAUUGCACCACUACCAAAUGGACCUGCGUUGUAUUAGCUAGUAGGUGAGGUAACGGCUCACCUAGGCGACGAUACAUAGCCGACCUGAGAGGGUGAUCGGCCACACUGGGACUGAGACACGGCCCAGACUCCUACGGGAGGCAGCAGUAGGGAAUCUUCGGCAAUGGACGAAAGUCUGACCGAGCAACGCCGCGUGAGUGAAGAAGGUUUUCGGAUCGUAAAGCUCUGUUGUAAGAGAAGAACGGGUGUGAGAGUGGAAAGUUCACACUGUGACGGUAUCUUACCAGAAAGGGACGGCUAACUACGUG